This 1134-nucleotide long non-coding RNA is filed under the name Anser cygnoides (Swan goose). RNAcentral describes it as "lncRNA (ENSACDG00005012687.1)". Lineage: Eukaryota; Metazoa; Chordata; Aves; Anseriformes; Anatidae. The record is from RNAcentral.
UAAAUUCCCGGCGAUGUCAGAUCGCGUGAUGGCGGUGCCGGUUCGAAGCCCCCUCUCUCAAAGCGACUUCCAGCAGACCAUGACGGGGAUCAAGGUGAGCAAGUUGAAGGAACGUUGAUCUGAAUGAAAGCCCUCGACAAAAUAAAUGGGAUGUGUUUUCCCGUCUUGCUGGACCGUGAAAAGGACACCGCGAUGUUUUAAGAAAACUGCCAGGCUGGUGUUUGCACCUGGUCCUCUCCUUGCGUUCGGCUGGGGAUGGGGGGAUGCAGCCCCAAAAUCGAGCUCCUUCAGUGCCUACAGGGAGUGAAGAGGGACCCCAGCCUGCACCAGAUAAAAACUGCUGCCUGCUCCCGCUUUUGCAUGGUUUGUGGCACACCAGACCCCUUGCCCCGGGAGUUCAGCGGGGCCGAGAGGUGCCCAGGGGCUCGGGGCCGGCAGUGCCGCUGCAGCCGCCCCUGCGGCAUGAGGAGCACGGCUCGGACGCCGAGCCCAGGGCCAGGCACUACAGCACAUGGCCACCAAACGAGCUUAAUUAAUUGGCCAUCUGCUUGAAAAGCCAAGGACUGGGUGGCACUGGAGUAUGACUGCCGUGCUGCGAGCCUCUGAAAUGCCUCCUGAAGUUGGGUGCUCUGUGUUCUGGUGGCCAGCACGGACAUCCUGGCUGGCAUCGUUUUUGUCUCCUGGCUUGCAUCCGUUUUUGUCUCAAAUUGACAACAGAGAACAGACACAGCAUUUGGUGUCGGUUCAGGUUGGCCUAGGCAUGUGCAAUACCUCCAGGACUCCACAUAAUCCAUGCAGAGCUCAGGACGAAGGCGAAUGCCCAAGCUCCGUCACAGGCCCAAUGCCAUCCCCUGGGGGGCCUCUGGCUGGCCACAGGCUAGGACAAGGGCAAUGGAUUUUGAUGGUGAGGGUGCUGGGUGGAACAAGUGCUGACCCUGGUAAUCACCCGCCUGGCACUGCAAGUCUCAAUGAGGAAUUUCGGUGUGGGAGGACGAGGAGGCCCAUCCUGCUGGGUAACUUGCUCGAUCCGCGAACGUAUGUGGAAUAAAUGUGCCAGAUUUUAAAAAUGCGUUUUGUUUAUUAGCACACCCUUAAGGAAAUAAAUCAUACAUCAUUAGGAGUGAUGUCUUCUCA